CCGGGAUUGCCUUAGUAACGGCGAGUGAAGCGGCAAAAGCUCAAAUUUGAAAUCUGGUACCUUCGGUGCCCGAGUUGUAAUUUGGAGAGGGCAACUUUGGGGCCGUUCCUUGUCUAUGUUCCUUGGAACAGGACGUCAUAGAGGGUGAGAAUCCCGUGUGGCGAGGAGUGCGGUUCUUUGUAAAGUGCCUUCGAAGAGUCGAGUUGUUUGGGAAUGCAGCUCUAAGUGGGUGGUAAAUUCCAUCUAAAGCUAAAUAUUGGCGAGAGACCGAUAGCGAACAAGUACAGUGAUGGAAAGAUGAAAAGAACUUUGAAAAGAGAGUGAAAAAGUACGUGAAAUUGUUGAAAGGGAAGGGCAUUUGAUCAGACAUGGUGUUUUGUGCCCUCUGCUCCUUGUGGGUAGGGGAAUCUCGCAUUUCACUGGGCCAGCAUCAGUUUUGGUGGCAGGAUAAAUCCAUAGGAAUGUAGCUUGCCUCGGUAAGUAUUAUAGCCUGUGGGAAUACUGCCAGCUGGGACUGAGGACUGCGACGUAAGUCAAGGAUGCUGGCAUAAUGGUUAUAUGCCGCCCGUCUUGAAACACGGACCAAGGAGUCUAACGUCUAUGCGAGUGUUUGGGUGUAAAACCCAUACGCGUAAUGAAAGUGAACGUAGGUUGGGGCCUCGCAAGAGGUGCACAAUCGACCGAUCCUGAUGUCUUCGGAUGGAUUUGAGUAAGAGCAUAGCUGUUGGGACCCGAAAGAUGGUGAACUAUGCCUGAAUAGGGUGAAGCCAGAGGAAACUCUGGUGGAGGCUCGUAGCGGUUCUGACGUGCAAAUCGAUCGUCGAAUUUGGGUAUAGGGGCGAAAGACUAAUCGAACCAUCUAGUAGCUGGUCCCUGGCGAUUUUCCCC
Molecule: ribosomal RNA, 888 nt
Filed under: Saccharomyces cerevisiae (brewer's yeast)
Lineage: Eukaryota; Fungi; Ascomycota; Saccharomycetes; Saccharomycetales; Saccharomycetaceae
Description: partial large subunit ribosomal RNA
Rfam family: Eukaryotic large subunit ribosomal RNA
Source: RNAcentral